CGAGUUGGCCGGGCGGCCGCGGCACCCGUGAGGGUGUCGAGGAAAGUCCGGACUUCACAGAGCAGGGUGAUUGCUAACGGCAAUCCGAGGUGACUCGCGGGAAAGUGCCACAGAAAACAGACCGCCAGCAAUGGUAAGGGUGAAACGGUGCGGUAAGAGCGCACCAGCACCCCGGGUGACCGGGGUGGCUAGGCAAACCCCACCCGAAGCAAGGCCAAGAAGGCCGCAACCUGGUUGCGGCCGCGCAGGCGCCCGAGGGUUGCUCGCCCGAGCCUGCGGGUAGGCCGCUUGAGGUGCCCGGCGACGGGCCACCCAGAUGGAUGGUCGCCGCCCCGCCGCCAGAGAUGGCGGCGGGGAACAGAAUCCGGCUUACAGGCCAACUCGUUCG
Molecule: RNase P RNA, 388 nt
Filed under: Mycolicibacterium goodii
Lineage: Bacteria; Bacillati; Actinomycetota; Actinomycetes; Mycobacteriales; Mycobacteriaceae
Description: bacterial RNase P
Rfam family: Bacterial RNase P class A
About the family: Ribonuclease P (RNase P) is a ubiquitous endoribonuclease, found in archaea, bacteria and eukarya as well as chloroplasts and mitochondria. Its best characterised activity is the generation of mature 5'-ends of tRNAs by cleaving the 5'-leader elements of precursor-tRNAs.
Source: RNAcentral